Long non-coding RNA from Herpailurus yagouaroundi (jaguarundi), 553 nucleotides. RefSeq lists it as uncharacterized. Lineage: Eukaryota; Metazoa; Chordata; Mammalia; Carnivora; Felidae. The record is from RefSeq and is a predicted model, not a curated record. The transcript has 3 exons.
AUGUUCUUCAUAACUGUUGGCUCUACUCUUUCUGAGGUCCCUUAUCCUGUGUAUAAAUCUGAAGAGAACAACUGAGAAUUUCAGCUUACUUCCCACUUAAUGAAGGUUGGAGUCCAGGGAUUAUUUUAAGUCUCAAACAGUCAGAAGCUUCUUGAAUCCAUAUUCAUUCUUUACUUGGUGGUAUAAAUCUCUCUAAAAUGUAGUCAGAUUUUCAUGUAUUUGAUUUCAGUGUAUUCCACGCUCCAAUGGCCACAUCUGCAGUUGUAGUCAAGACAUGGCUUUCUCUGUAUGUCUAGUCAUAGGCAUAUGGAGCCUGUUAGACUUCAUUGGGAUAAGCUUAUUCUCUUUUCACUUUCCCCUUAGUCUCCUUUCCUGGAGCCAGUUAUUUCAACUGAAAGGGUAUAUUUGGAGCUAUUUUAAUACACUCAGAAAGUUUAAUAACAGCUACUUGCUACUUCCUUAAAUCAGUUAUUUUGAUUAGAGAUUAUAUUUCAAGCGGACUUUGUGGGGUGCCUGGGUGGCUCAGUCAGUUAAGUGUUCAACUUUGGUUCAG